CAAAAUGUAGCUUAACUUAAAGCAUCCCGCUUACACCGAGAACAUGUCUGUUAAAUCCAGAUCAUUUUGA
Molecule: transfer RNA, 70 nt
Filed under: Scaphiophryne brevis
Lineage: Eukaryota; Metazoa; Chordata; Amphibia; Anura; Microhylidae
Description: partial tRNA-Val
Rfam family: tRNA
About the family: Transfer RNA (tRNA) molecules are approximately 80 nucleotides in length.
Source: RNAcentral